This 298-nucleotide signal recognition particle RNA is filed under the name Aotus nancymaae (Ma's night monkey). RNAcentral's name for it is "Metazoan signal recognition particle RNA (ENSANAG00000012393.1)". It matches the Rfam family "Metazoan signal recognition particle RNA". Rfam says of the family: The signal recognition particle (SRP) is a universally conserved ribonucleoprotein. It is involved in the co-translational targeting of proteins to membranes. The eukaryotic SRP consists of a 300-nucleotide 7S RNA and six proteins: SRPs 72, 68, 54, 19, 14, and 9. Lineage: Eukaryota; Metazoa; Chordata; Mammalia; Primates; Aotidae. The record is from RNAcentral.
GCCAGGCGUAGUGGCAUGUGUCUGUAGUCCCAGCUACUCGGGAGGCUGAGGUGGGAGGAUCGCUUAAGUCCAGGAGUUCUGGGCUGUAGUGUGCUAUGCUGAUCAGGUGUGUGCACUAAGUUCGGCAUCAAUAUGGUGACCUCCCGGGAGCAGGGGACCACCAGAUUGCCUAAGGAGGGGUGAACUAGCCCAGGUUGGAAAUGAAGCAGGUCAAAACUCCCGUGCUGAUCAGUAAUGGGAUCACGCCUGUGAAUAGCCACUGCACUCCAUCCUGGGCAACAAAGCGGAGCAAAAGUUU